UACGGGGGGAGCAAGCGUUGUUCGGAUUUACUGGGCGUAAAGGGCGCGUAGGCGGCGUGACAAGUCACUUGUGAAAUCUCCGGGCUUAACUCGGAACGGUCAAGUGAUACUGUCGUGCUAGAGUGCAGAAGGGGCAAUCGGAAUUCUUGGUGUAGCGGUGAAAUGCGUAGAGAUCAGGAGGAACACCGUAGCGGAAGGCAGGUCUCUGGCGGAU
RNAcentral lists this ribosomal RNA (214 nucleotides) under uncultured bacterium. Its description in RNAcentral is "partial 16S ribosomal RNA". It matches the Rfam family "Bacterial small subunit ribosomal RNA", at positions 524 to 738 of the family's 1533-position model. The record is from RNAcentral.